This 492-nucleotide ribosomal RNA is filed under the name uncultured bacterium. RNAcentral describes it as "partial 16S ribosomal RNA". It matches the Rfam family "Bacterial small subunit ribosomal RNA", at positions 29 to 507 of the family's 1533-position model. The record is from RNAcentral.
AGUGAACGCUGGCGGUAGGCCUAACACAUGCAAGUCGAACGGCAGCACAGUAAGCGCUUGCUCUUACGGGUGGCGAGUGGCGGACGGGUGAGGAAUACAUCGGCAUCUACUUUUUCGUGGGGGAUAACGUAGGGAAACUUACGCUAAUACCGCAUACGACCUACGGGUGAAAGCAGGGGAUAUUCGGACCUUGCGCGAUUGAAUGAGCCGAUGUCGGAUUAGCUAGUUGGCGGGGUAAAGGCCCACCAAGGCGACGAUCCGUAGCUGGUCUGAGAGGAUGAUCAGCCACACUGGAACUGAGACACGGUCCAGACUCCUACGGGAGGCAGCAGUGGGGAAUAUUGGACAAUGGGCGCAAGCCUGAUCCAGCCAUACCGCGUGGGUGAAGAAGGCCUUCGGGUUGUAAAGCCCUUUUGUUGGGAAAGAAAAGCAGCAGGUUAAUACCCCGCUGUUCUGACGGUACCCAAAGAAUAAGCACCGGCUAACUUCGUG